AGUUAAUGAACUUGUUUAAGUAUUUGUUUUGAAAACAAAAAAAAGAAAAUAUCCUUCUUAUUAACUU
This 67-nucleotide transfer RNA is filed under the name Priacma serrata. Its description in RNAcentral is "tRNA-Ser". Lineage: Eukaryota; Metazoa; Arthropoda; Insecta; Coleoptera; Cupedidae. The record is from RNAcentral.